Molecule: ribosomal RNA, 520 nt
Filed under: uncultured bacterium
Lineage: Bacteria
Description: bacterial SSU rRNA
Rfam family: Bacterial small subunit ribosomal RNA
Source: RNAcentral
AUGGGGGGAACCCUGAUCCAGCCAUGCCGCGUGUGUGAAGAAGGCCUUUUGGUUGUAAAGCACUUUAAGCGAGGAGGAGGCUACCGAGACUAAUACUCUUGGAUAGUGGACGUUACUCGCAGAAUAAGCACCGGCUAACUCUGUGCCAGCAGCCGCGGUAAUACAGAGGGUGCGAGCGUUAAUCGGAUUUACUGGGCGUAAAGCGUGCGUAGGCGGCUUUUUAAGUCGGAUGUGAAAUCCCUGAGCUUAACUUAGGAAUUGCAUUCGAUACUGGGAGGCUAGAGUAUGGGAGAGGAUGGUAGAAUUCCAGGUGUAGCGGUGAAAUGCGUAGAGAUCUGGAGGAAUAUCGAUGGCGAAGGCAGCCAUCUGGCCUAAUACUGACGCUGAGGUACGAAAGCAUGGGGAGCAAACAGGAUUAGAUACCCUGGUAGUCCAUGCCGUAAACGAUGUCUACUAGCCGUUGGGGCCUUUGAGGCUUUAGUGGCGCAGCUAACGCGAUAAGUAGACCGCCUGGGGAGUA